Brassica napus (rape) is the source of this 2664-nucleotide long non-coding RNA. RefSeq lists it as uncharacterized. Lineage: Eukaryota; Viridiplantae; Streptophyta; Magnoliopsida; Brassicales; Brassicaceae. The record is from RefSeq and is a predicted model, not a curated record. The transcript is spliced from 3 exons.
ACCGAUUGAACCCGUUUUUCCUUGAAGGUCCGAAUUAUCUGCGUAAUCACUUUAGAACGAUAAAAAGAUAGAUAAUCGCUCAUAUGCGUUUUAUUGAAUACUAUGAAUACAAGAUUUUCUCCGAGAGGAGUAGAGAUAUGCUAACUAUCGGAACAACAUGACAAGAGGCGGUCAAGACGUCCUAAGCCUUGCCGUGCUAGUCUAACCACAUAAGCCCUAAGUUCUCUAAGCUAGCAAGAGUUCUCUAAGUCUAAAUUCUCGGAUCCCUUUUUCUUAUGCUCCUGCUCUCUUUAUAUAGUCGCUCUAGGCUGGUGGCCCAUCCUUCGCCUUCGGGCGCAAGUCUAUCUCUUUCGGGCAUAUUCCAUUUUUCGUCGAUCUUGAUAGUUAUCCUCGAAUCUUUACAUUUAUCGUAUUUCUGCGAGUUAGGACAAACCGUCAUAACUUUUAUCGGCUCGAAUCCCUUCUGAGAGCGUAGAUGGGCCUCUAGACCAGUCUGGAUCCUUGCGGACCGUUCUUAGGCCUUUUGGCGUUUAUACGAUUUCUCGGUUUUGGUCAUAAAACUUCGAGAAUAACUUUAAUCAAAACAAAACGAGAAGUAUAUGGUCCCGAAGGUCGGAUAUCACAGCUAUAUGGAAGAUACGGGAGUCGAAGUAAAUCGAACAGGCCGUGAUCAGAUCGAGCUCGCCGGGCGAGCCGACUCGCGUGACGGCCGAACUCGCCGGCGAACACAACCACGCGACGGUUCAGCUAUCCGGCGAGUGGCUUUUGUGUGGGAUUCGCUCGUUCGUUCACUUCCGAUCUUUCUUUCGGUGAAUGUUUUGCGAGAAAUCCGUGAAUAAGAAAUAAUCAUAGCCGUUGAUUUUGAAAUAACCGUUUUUGACCCCAACAGUCUCCUACUUGGCUUUGUUCUACCCAUCACCCCAGCAUGUUAUGCUAGUUUGGAUCCUAAAUCUAAGGAAAUCGGUUAAUGUUCUCGACCUUUGACGUGUACCACGAGAAAGUGAGAUUGACCUCGUUUCCUCAGAUGUCGGUACUUCUCAUGACGUCUUUCGUGUAGCUAGUAACAGAUGAAAUCAUCAGAGCUUGUAAUCAAAACCGUAAAAUGAAGAUCUGGUCGAAAUGAAGGAGAGGAGGGCCAAGAACACUAACUGAAGAAAAAUACCCUGAAAAACAUGACUGUACAACAAGCCUUUAUCGCCAACUGCUCGAGGAUAGAUAGAAGACUGUUAAAGAUCUCUGAACCGAGAAUGGGAAUGCAAAAAAACCGGGCAAGAGCCGGCCACUGCAACCUGAACCAGUGAGAGCUUGAUAUACCUACAAUAAGAAAUAGCAAGGCAAAGCAACCAUGGAUAAACAAGUGCCCGUCCAUGGUCCUGGGAUGCAUCGCCUCGCCGGUGGGAGUCACCAGGAGGUGGGAGAGAACCGAAGACCACACGAACCUCCACAACCACCGUUCAUCGCUGCCUCCGAAAACAAAAGGGAAAUAUGCUUGAAACGCCAAGGAUUGAACCUUCAACUAACUCAACAAUCAAAACAACACAACACACGAGCUGAGCACCACGACACCAAAGUCAAUGUAUAGCCACAGUGCUACUGGAAUGGACACCGGGAAGAUGAACCAUCAGAGGGAAGAUACAUCGCUAAGCCAUAUCGGAGAGCCAUAGAUGACUCCGCUAAUAACCCGACACAGCAACCACAUACGAGCCACCACUGCGAGUAAUGAAACCGCCGCCGCCGUUAGCUAGGCACGCCUCCGAGUUAGUAGGAACCUCCGAAGCAACCAUGGUGAAGGAACCACGGCCUCAACUCACCAAGACACCGAGUAAGAGUCAGCCAUGCCGCAAUCCUCACCUCUCCGCCGUAUCUGACAAUACGGGUGCAACGACCCGGUUUUCUUAACCGGAUCUUGUUUGAUUUUCUCCCUUUAAUUAAUUUGGACCAAACUCAAAUUAUUCCCUUUUGGUUUAGUCAAACCAUGUUUGCAUAUAUAUAAAACGUGUGCAUCUUUUUCUAUCUAACCUAGCCGCAAAGCCUAGCCGCAAAGCCUUGACGAUCUCUAGCAUCUUAUUAUUCUCUCUAUUGCGUGUGCUUCUUCUUCUUUGUGGCUUAUUCGACCGUUCAUGGAGACGAGCAAUGCCGUAACCCCCGUCAAUCACCUUUGUCCAAAUCUGUUGCACCUCUUCACCGCGGGAGACGUCACCGCCGAUCCACACCACCACCGUGUCGGAUCAACACGGCCUUCAACUGUGACUCGUCGGAGACGCCUCCCAUGUCACAGGAGUCCGAGAUCCACCGUUGCCAGGCAGUGUCGUGGGGGUUCCCUCCUUGAUUCUUGUGCUACAAGCUUCGUAAUCAUCUCGUUAUCAACCGCUUUGUGGUUUUGGAAGCAAUUAUGAUCUUUCGUCUCUAUUAUGUCCAAGACUUGUCAAGUAUGUUUUGUUCCAGAGUAUUUCAUGAUCCACUUUGGAACACUGCGAAGGUGAGCUUGUCGAGUGUUGGAUAUCUGGACGGUUUGGUGUCUUGGGAUCAUUGUAUUUUAUUUCAGUUUUAAUUAACUUUUCGAUUUAAAGUACUUGGUUUUUAAAUUAUAAACUCGUUUCAUUUGGAAAUUAUUUGAUUAAAAGGUUUGACAUUUUAUUUGGUUUUAUAAAUCGGUUUAAUUCG